RNAcentral lists this ribosomal RNA (253 nucleotides) under uncultured bacterium. RNAcentral's name for it is "partial 16S ribosomal RNA". It matches the Rfam family "Bacterial small subunit ribosomal RNA", at positions 524 to 776 of the family's 1533-position model. The record is from RNAcentral.
UACGUGGGGGGUAAGCGUUGUUCGGAAUUACUGGGCGUAAAGGGCUCGUAGGCGGCCAACUAAGUCGGACGUGAAAUCCCUCAGCUUAACUGGGGAACUGCGUCCGAUACUGGAUGGCUUGGAUUUGGGAGAGGGAUGCGGAAUUCCAGGUGUAGCGGUGAAAUGCGUAGAUAUCUGGAGGAACACCGGUGGCGAAGGCGGCAGCCUGGACCAAUAUUGACGCUGAGGAGCGAAAGCCAGGGGAGCAAACGGG